RNAcentral lists this transfer RNA (72 nucleotides) under Camelus bactrianus (Bactrian camel). It matches the Rfam family "tRNA". Rfam says of the family: Transfer RNA (tRNA) molecules are approximately 80 nucleotides in length. Their secondary structure includes four short double-helical elements and three loops (D, anti-codon, and T loops). RNAcentral also lists the same sequence under 2 other names. The record is from Rfam by way of RNAcentral. Lineage: Eukaryota; Metazoa; Chordata; Mammalia; Artiodactyla; Camelidae.
GAGGGUAUAGCUCAGUGGUAGAGCAUAUACUUAGCAUGUACGAGGUCCUGGGUUCAAUUCCCAGCAUCUCCA